This 484-nucleotide ribosomal RNA is filed under the name uncultured bacterium. RNAcentral describes it as "partial 16S ribosomal RNA". It matches the Rfam family "Bacterial small subunit ribosomal RNA", at positions 30 to 507 of the family's 1533-position model. The record is from RNAcentral.
AUUGAACGCUGGCGGCAGGCCUAACACAUGCAAGUCGAGCGGAUGAAGGGAGCUUGCUCCUGGAUUCAGCGGCGGACGGGUGAGUAAUGCCUAGGAAUCUGCCUGGUAGUGGGGGAUAACGUCCGGAAACGGGCGCUAAUACCGCAUACGUCCUGAGGGAGAAAGUGGGGGAUCUUCGGACCUCACGCUAUCAGAUGAGCCUAGGUCGGAUUAGCUAGUUGGUGGGGUAAAGGCCUACCAAGGCGACGAUCCGUAACUGGUCUGAGAGGAUGAUCAGUCACACUGGAACUGAGACACGGUCCAGACGCCUACGGGAGGCAGCCGUGGGGAAUAUUGGACAAUGGGCGAAAACCUGAUCCAGCCAUGCCGCGUGUGUGAAGAAGGUCUUCGGAUUGUAAAGCACUUUAAGUGGGGAGGAAGGGCAGUAAGUUAAUACCGUGCUGUUUUGACGUUACCAACAGAAUAAGCACCGGCUAACUUCGUG